This 392-nucleotide ribosomal RNA is filed under the name uncultured bacterium. Its description in RNAcentral is "partial 16S ribosomal RNA". It matches the Rfam family "Bacterial small subunit ribosomal RNA", at positions 338 to 747 of the family's 1533-position model. The record is from RNAcentral.
CCUACGGGUGGCAGCAGUGGGGAAUAUUGGGCAAUGGGCGCAAGCCUGACCCAGCAACGCCGCGUGAAGGAAGAAGGCUUUCGGUAUGUAAAGCUCUAUCAGCAGGGAAGAAAAUGACGGUACCUGACUAAGAAGCACCGGCGAAAGACGUGCCAGCAGCCGCGGUAAUACGUAUGGUGCAAGCGUUAUCCGGAUUUACUGGGUGGAAAGGGAGCGCAGGCGGCGCGGCAAGGCAGAUGGGAAAGCCCGGGGCUCACCCCCGGGACUGCAUGUGAAACUGCCGGGCUAGAGGGUCGGAGAGGCAAGUGCAUUUCCUCGUGUAGCGGUGAACUGCGUCGAUCUUCGGAGGCACCCCAGUGGCGACGGCGGCUUGCUGGACGAUCCCUGCCGCU